This is a long non-coding RNA of Zingiber officinale, 1208 nucleotides long. RefSeq lists it as uncharacterized. The transcript is spliced from 4 exons. The record is from RefSeq and is a predicted model, not a curated record. Lineage: Eukaryota; Viridiplantae; Streptophyta; Magnoliopsida; Zingiberales; Zingiberaceae.
GCGCCGUCUCCAGCGCCCCGCGGCGACCUCCAGCGGCCUCAGCGUCGCCUCCCUGCCUCCAGCGCCGGCCUCCCUCGUCGCCACCCUCCAGCGCCGUCUCCAGAAUUCUAUUUCUCCUCUUGAGAUCCAAGCUUUUAUUCUACUGUGCUUUGCGUUGCUCGCGUGAGAUGAUUGCCUCUGAUGAUGGAUCCAGGAGCUUGCUGCUUGCUGUUAAUAGAAGGCUCACUGCACUAUCAUUCCAUAUCAGAGAGUACUUUUGGGUUGACAUGAAGAAGAUCAAUGAGAUUUAUCGCUACAAGACUGAAGAAUACUCCCAAGGUGCUACUAACAAAUUCAACAUCUAUCCGGAGCAAAUUCCUAGUUGGCUAGUUGAUUGGAUUCCUGAAAAAGGUGGCUACUUGAUCGGGAACCUUCAGCCAGCUCACAUGGAUUUCUGGUUCUUCUCACUGGGUAAUCUAUGGGCUAUCACUUCAUCUUUAACCACUCCGAGACAAGCCGAGGAGAUUCUGAACCUGAUGGAGAAAAAAUGGGAGGAUUUCAUCUGGAAUAUACCUCUGAAGAUAUGUUACCCUGCGUUAGAAUAUGAAGAAUGACACAUAAUUACUGGAAGUGAUCCGAAAAAUGCGCCUUUCAUAUCAUAAUGGUGGACCAUGGCCUACCCUACUAUGGCAGUUCACAUUGGCUUGCAUCAAGAUGGGCCGGCCUGAAUUAGCUCAUAAAGCUGUCUCGGUAGCUGAGAAAAGGCUUUCGAACGAUCAAUGGCCUGAAUACUAUGACACCUGACCGCAAGAUUCAUCAGUAAUCAAUCAUGAUUGUAUCAAACAUUGACAAUUGCUGGGUUUCUGGCAUCAAAGUUGCUACCGGAGAAUCCAAAAAUGGCAUCCAUAUUCACAUUUGAGGAAGAUAUGGAACUACUGGAAGGCUGUGCCUACAGUCUGACAAAUCAUCCUCGUGCCAAAUGCUCACGACGCGUUCCAAAAGCGCAGGUCCUUGUAUAACUUGUUGAAGAUACGCAACCAUUCUUUGAUGCUUGUACUGUAUAUAAGAAAAAGGAAAACCAUAGAUGGAAGAGGGAUCCACCUCCACACAACAUUGUUUCCUCAUUGAGAUAUGCUCUUUUUUUUGUUGAGCUACCAUGAUGGUGACUGUGUAUCAGUGAUGUGUAAAAGAUUUGGCCUUUGUAACAAAAAAUAUGUAUGUUUUGAUGA